Molecule: ribosomal RNA, 672 nt
Filed under: uncultured prokaryote
Description: bacterial SSU rRNA
Rfam family: Bacterial small subunit ribosomal RNA
Source: RNAcentral
UACGGAGGGCGCAAGCGUUAUCCGGAAUCACCGGGCGUAAAGCGCGCGUAGGCGGCCACGCAAGUCAGGUGUGAAAGCCUUCGGCUUAACCGGGGAACCGCACCCGAAACCGUGUGGCUAGAGUCCGGGAGAGGGUGGCGGAAUCCCCGGUGUAGGAGUGAAAUCCGUAGAUAUCGGGAGGAACACCAGAGGCGAAGGCGGCCACCCGGACCGAAACUGACGCCGAGGCGCGAAAGCGUGGGUAGCAAACAGGAUUAGAUACCCCGGUAGUCCACGCCGUAAACGCCGGAUGCUAAAUGCAGGGGACGUUAGAGUCUUUCUGUGUUUGCAGCUAACGCGUUAAGCAUCCCGCCUGGGGAGUACGGUCGCAAGGCUGAGACUCAAAGGAAUUGACGGGGGCCCGCACAAGCGGUGGAGUAUUUUGGUUUAAUUCGAUGCAACGCGAAGAACCUUACCUGGGCUUGACAUCCCGGAAACCUUCUGGAAACAGGGGGGUGCCCUUCGGGGAGUCCGGUGACAGGUGCUGCAUGGCUGUCGUCAGCUCGUGCCGUGAGGUGUUGGGUUAAGUCCCGCAACGAGCGCAACCCUUGUCCUUAGUUGCCAUCAAGUAAAGUUGGGCACUCUAGGGAGACUGCCGAGGUCAACUCGGAGGAAGGUGGGGACGACGUCAAG